Long non-coding RNA from Toxorhynchites rutilus septentrionalis, 658 nucleotides. RefSeq lists it as uncharacterized. Lineage: Eukaryota; Metazoa; Arthropoda; Insecta; Diptera; Culicidae. The transcript is spliced from 3 exons. The record is from RefSeq and is a predicted model, not a curated record.
GCCUAGAACUACGCGCGGGUUUAGAAGUGCGCGUCGUGUGUAGUAAAUUGUAUUUAAUUUUGCUUUUUUUGUAAAAUAAGUGUGUUAAAGAAUUUUUCAUUGUAGAUAUAGAAAAGGAUAGUAUUUUUUUGUGUUCCGAUAGAUGUGAGUAAACUGUGAAAUUAGAGAAAAGGAAGUCGAACCUGAAAAAGAAGACAAAAUUAAGAAAACUUACCUGUAACGACGAUAAAGAACCUGAAACAGAAAAAAACUACAAAAAAGGUCCGCACAGUGGGCCUUUUUUAUGUAUUAUCUCAAAUAGGCUGGACAUCGACAGACACUUUCUAGGCAGAAAGUGCAGCGAGCCACCAACGUACUCGAGUGAGCGGUUCCAAACUGGAACGAACGUCCUAACCCCAAUCUAUGAUCGAGGUUGACUGUGGUGACAGACAUGUCACAGACGACCACAUCGUGAGACAAAUUCACACGAAGGAUACGGAAUAAGAACGGAAAACAUCAGAUCACGGGCCGAACCACAUUGCUCAAAAUUUAUAAAUGCGCAAGUAUACAAAGUUUGAAUUGUGACGUCACAAAUACAAUAGUCGACUCAAAUACACAGAAAAGUACAUGUAUAGUAAUUAGUUAGAUUUAUAAAAACUACAUGCAAUUCGAAUUAAAA